Molecule: long non-coding RNA, 936 nt
Filed under: Salmo salar (Atlantic salmon)
Lineage: Eukaryota; Metazoa; Chordata; Actinopteri; Salmoniformes; Salmonidae
Description: lncRNA (ENSSSAG00000096354.1)
Source: RNAcentral
UAUUCAACAUGUUAUCUACCAACACAGGUUAAUGUCUAAACUUUCUGAGUGUUUAUCCAACAUGUUAUCUACCAACACAGGUUAAUGUCUAAACUUUCUGAGAGUGUUUAGCCAACAUGUUAUCUACCAACACAGGUUAAUGUCUAAACUUUCUGAGAGUGUUUAUUCAACAUGUUAUCUACCAACACAGGUUAAUGUCUAAACUUUCUGAGAGUGUUUAUCCAACAUGUUAUCUACCAACACAGGUUAAUGUCUAAACUUUCUGAGUGUUUAUCCAACAUGUUAUCUACCAACACAGGUUAAUGUCUAAACUUUCUGAGUGUUUAUUCAACAUGUUAUCUACCAACACAGGUUAAUGUCUAAACUUUCUGAGAGUGUUUAUCCAACAUGUUAUCUACCAACACAGGUUAAUGUCUAAACUUUCAGAGUGUUUAUCCAACAUGUUAUCUACCAACACAGGUUAAUGUCUAAACUUUCAGAGUGUUUAUCCAACAUGUUAUCUACCAACACAGGUUAAUGUCUAAACUAUCUGAGCGUGUUUAGCCAGCAUGUUAUCUACCAACACAGGUUAAUGUCUAAACUUUCUGAGAGUGUUUAGCCAGCAUGUUAUCUACCAACACAGGUUAAUGUCUAAACUUUCUGAGUGUUUAUACAACAUGUUAUCUACCAACACAGGUUAAUGUCUAAACUAUCUGAGAGUGUUUAGCCAACAUGUUAUCUACCAACACAGGUUAAUGUCUAAACUUUCUGAGUGUUUAUACAACAUGUUAUCUACCAACACAGGUUAAUGUCUAAACUAUCUGAGAGUGUUUAGCCAGCAUGUUAUCUACCAACACAGGUUAAUGUCUAAACUUUCUGAGUGUUUAUCCAACAUGUUAUCUACCAACACAGGUAAAUGUCUAAACUUUCUGAGUGUUUAUCCAACAUGUUAUCUAC